This 287-nucleotide ribosomal RNA is filed under the name Klebsiella aerogenes. Its description in RNAcentral is "partial 23S ribosomal RNA". It matches the Rfam family "Bacterial large subunit ribosomal RNA", at positions 2656 to 2925 of the family's 2925-position model. The record is from RNAcentral. Lineage: Bacteria; Pseudomonadati; Pseudomonadota; Gammaproteobacteria; Enterobacterales; Enterobacteriaceae.
GGAGAAUUGAGGGGGGCUGCUCCUAGUACGAGAGGACCGGAGUGGACGCAUCACUGGUGUUCGGGUUGUCAUGCCAAUGGCAUUGCCCGGUAGCUAAAUGCGGAAGAGAUAAGUGCUGAAAGCAUCUAAGCACGAAACUUGCCCCGAGAUGAGUUCUCCCUGAGACUUUAAGUCUCCUGAAGGAACGUUAAAGACGAUGACGUUGAUAGGUCGGGUGUGUAAGCGUAGCGAUACGUUGAGCUAACCGAUACUAAUGAACCGUGAGGCUUAACCUUACAACGCCGAAG